RNAcentral lists this long non-coding RNA (701 nucleotides) under Setaria italica (foxtail millet). RNAcentral's name for it is "long non-coding RNA (SITA_LNC001263)". Lineage: Eukaryota; Viridiplantae; Streptophyta; Magnoliopsida; Poales; Poaceae. The record is from RNAcentral.
UUCAGUGUGUAUGCACUGUGCUGUUCUCAUUAUUGAAUUGCUAGCCGAUGGAUGGACUGAUAUUCACCACAUACGUCCCAUCUGGCUAAUUUCCAAGCUGAGCUGGAUAUUUCUGGUUGAGCGCCGAACUGAGAACACACACCGCGCCAGUACAAUAGAGCACUUCAGAUGACGCGGCAUGUGCUGUGUACGCAUCCAAUUUGUUCACCUUUUCGGCAGCCAGCCCCUCCUUAUUUGUAAGCAUACAACUGUUAUAUACCACCACAAACUAGCUAAAGGUUUUAUUUGGAAAAUUAAUAAUGUGAAGCAAAAGAACUUACAUAUUAUUUAUAAUGAAGUUGUACUAAUGUACUGUACUAACACAUAGGAAAAGACCUAAAAUGAUGAUGUAUAGUAUUUUUGGUACACUCAUAAAAAAGAGAAGACAGAAAACAAAAGAAAUUUAACAUAAAAAGUUGUAACGAUUGUAUUCUCUUGAGUACGAAUACUUAAGCAGACUUCAAAUGGAAGUGAUCAAACAAAUUUUGAUGGACGCAUUUGUUUGUGUGGCUGCUCCUAACCGGAAGAAGGACAUAAAAGAACUCGUGGUAUCAAAUGCAUCAUCGGUGAUUCUGUGGUGAAGUCAUAGGGGUGCGAGGGCUGGGCGUGCUGGUGCAGCGGUACUUAGUGGGGUUCGGGCGAAGGCAUUGAGACCGCCAGAG